RNA transcript from Zerene cesonia (dogface butterfly), 5968 nucleotides. It is a transcript of the gene named serine/threonine-protein kinase NLK, with no coding region annotated. The transcript is spliced from 10 exons. The record is from RefSeq and is a predicted model, not a curated record. NCBI's taxonomy places the organism in Eukaryota, Metazoa, Arthropoda, Insecta, Lepidoptera, Pieridae.
CGCGCUCGAUUCUCGUUACGCGUGGACGUUUUGCACGUAUCAUUUAAAAAACCAUUACCGUGUUAUCCUUUGUCCUGAAAUAUUGAAAUACAGUUUGCAACUAAUACACGCGUAGCGCAUAAUAAAUAUUUAAAAUACCACACGUUCGUACUAAUAACUGGUGAAAUUGACAGGUGACGGUUCGUGUAGUGUGCGCUCAGUAAUCAGUUAGUGAUUCCCGCAUAGCCGUUCGAGCAUGAAUAAUAUAGAAGCAACCGGUAACAGCGUCGCGUGUCAACCGGGAGAGGCUUGGUGAUAGAGCAGUGCCGGGGUUAAAGCGUUGAGCGUGUGAUGAGUCUGCGGUGACGGCGGUUGGAUGGCGGCUGUAAGCGGACCAGCGCGGCACUCUCGCGUUUCGAUGAGUGUGUCCAUGUCGCUGAUGCAGGGCGGUACGCAGAGUGCGCCCCAGGGCGCCAUCCUGGCGGCGGCGGCGCCCUACUACCAAACGCCGGCCAUCCCGACCGACGUGCAGCCCGACAGGCCUAUAGGCUACGGCGCCUUUGGAGUAGUAUGGGCUGUGACGGACCCUCGCGAUGGGAGGCGCGUGGCCCUCAAGAAGCUGCCCAACGUUUUCCAAUCGCUGGUCUCCUCUAAGCGCGUCUUCCGCGAGCUCAAGAUGCUUUGCUUCUUCAAACAUGAGAACGUACUAUCGGCGUUAGACAUCCUUCAGCCGCCAAGCCUCGACUUCUUCCAAGAAAUUUAUGUAAUCACGGAGCUACUGCAAAGCGACCUGCACAAGAUCAUCGUGUCCCCGCAACACCUCUCAGCCGACCACAUCAAAGUCUUCCUGUAUCAAAUACUCAGAGGUUUAAAGUACCUUCACUCAGCGCGCAUCCUGCACAGAGACAUAAAGCCUGGCAACUUGCUGGUGAACAGCAACUGCGUGCUGAAAAUCUGCGACUUUGGCCUCGCGAGGGUCGAGGAGCCUGACUCCACGAAGAACAUGACGCAGGAAGUUGUUACGCAGUAUUAUAGAGCGCCUGAAAUCCUGAUGGGCGCCAACCACUACACAGCGGCUGUCGACGUGUGGUCCGUGGGUUGUAUAUUUGGCGAACUUCUCGGCAGGCGCAUUCUCUUCCAGGCACAGAGUCCUGUACAGCAGCUGGAGCUGAUCACCGAGCUCCUCGGCACGCCGUCGCUAGAGGACAUGCGGUACGCGUGCGCGGGCGCGCGGGCACACAUGCUGAGGCGCGCGCCUCGCCCGCCCGCGCUCGCCGCGCUCUACACGCUCUCCGUGCAGGCGACGCACGAGGCGGUGCACUUGCUCGCUCAGAUGCUGGUGUUCGACCCGGCGAAGCGCAUCUCGGUGGUGGACGCGCUGGCGCACCCGUACCUGGAGGAGGGGCGGCUGCGCUACCACUCGUGCAUGUGCAAGUGCUGCUACAGCGCGCCGCCCGCCGCGCGCCACUACUCGCCGGACCUCGAGCCGGUCGCGCCGCACGCCUUCCACGACGGCUGGGAGAGGAAGCUCACCUCGGUGCACCAAGUCAAGGAGGAGAUCCACAAAUUCAUAGCGGAGCAGCUGCAGACGUCGCGCGUGCCGCUGUGCAUCAACCCGCAGUCCGCCGCGUUCAAGAGCUUCGCAAGGUAAGGCGACGCCACCGCAAACAACCAACCAACCAACCAACCAACCAGACACUAGCUCGACAGUCGCACACCCGUCGGAGCUGCCGCCGUCGCCGCACCAGUGGGAAUGACGCGAGUCUAAGCGCGGCUUCGACAAGCGCGCCCUAUAUUAAAUACACACUGGCUAAGACUAUUGAAGGGCUUUGGGCGCAAUCUCCCUUGCUAACGACGAUAAAAACGCAAACGCCAAAUGGGAAUUUUUAUUUCGAUCACGCAAGCAAUAUUGAUCUCAAUGUGUAAAAGAUUAUAAGCGAACACUGUUUCGUGUCUGUCUCUUUGUUUGUACGGAAUGUAGGAUGACGGUGAGACGGUACUAUGAUAAAAAUAAAAAAUUAUAAAAAAAUGACAAGAACGCUUUACAUGUUUCAUCAAAACUUCAAAGCCAUAGUGACGAGUGUCACACUUAUUUUUAUUGAUGUAACUAAUGUUUCGUAUAUAUUUUGGUAGUGAAAUGAAGUAUUUCUAUACAUAUAAGAUUGUAUGAUAAUUAUAACUUUGAAUUUCCGUUUUGUCAAUAAUAAAUAAUAAUAAUAAUAGAUGUAAAAUUCACAAAUGUACAAUUGAUAACACCAAUCGAUGUUAACAUUUCACUUUGUUUAUAUAUAUAUACUGUGAGGAUAUAUUGAAGUGUCUAUAGAUAUAAUUCUGAUAUGAUCUGAUCUUAGAUAAAAAACUAUAAAAUACAUCACGUUCAUGACAUCCUAACUUUUUCGCAUUUACGAUAACCAUGUUCUAAAUAUACAAGUAAAAGACUACGAGAUUCCUUCUAAUGUGCGAUAAAUAAAAAACGUUUAUAUAUUUACCAAAUAUUUUAUAUUUUCACUUAUAUUUUAUAUCGUAGCGAUGGGUGUAUGUUUGUAGAUUAGUAUAGUAAUUGGUAUUGUAGGAAGCAGUCAGUGGGUAAGGACUAAGGUAUCGAAAGGUUUUGAUAAGUUCCUUUGAGUUGCGGCGAAAAAAACUAAGCCCGUAACAUUCAAAUGGAUGUUUCAACGUGGUGUACAACGAAUUGAGAAGGACAUAGUAUGAUAGCAUAGAACGGAGGGUAAUAGAACUUGCGUACCUCGUAUGUUAAAGGGCCAUGCUUGUUAGGGCUAGUUACAUCAUUUUAUUCGCUAUUCCAUCAGAUAGUUGUGUAUGUGAGGGUAGUUUUUCGGUGUGUGCCUGAUCGUUAUGCGGAUUGCAAGCAAUAAACGUUGCAAUAUAUUAGUAAACGUAUUAGCCGAUAACUUUAGUUCUAUGGAUAAUGAAAAUAGAAAAAAAAAAAACAAUGAUUUUUGUGUUCGUUAAGGCCGUGUUCAGAUGGCGACACGUUUGUGUCGAAGUACUAAUGAAUCUCGACGUGUCGCCCGUCUGUACGCGGCCUGUUUUGUGUUUCCCUAAACACCAUUGUAUGUAACAUCGACUGACAUUUUUAUGUAGUUAGGUUAGAUAGAUAUAGAAGUAAAUUGACAUAUUUCAGUAAUUACAAUUUUGAUUAUUAAUAUUGCUGUAUAGAGGGAAAGCAGCAUUUUUAUUCUAGGCGUGAGAAAUGAUUGAGUAAAAUAUUUUAUAUAUCCACAAUCUAAUAUUGGAACGCAAAAGGUAUUUGUUGAAUAUUAUUUUCAUAAGUGUAUGCAGCUAUAAAGCCCGUAAAACAUAAAAUUUGAUUAAAAAUCAAUUUUACAAAUAAAGCUCACUUAAUAGUUUUUACUCAAAAAAUCGAUAAAUAUACUGCUUUUGGUCUAUACUACAAUAAUAUACAUGUGGUAGUGUGUAACGUUUAUUUCAAGCAUUUAUUAUUAGUGAUGUAAUUAUUCUGAUGUGUGUUAGUGUGCGUGCAACUAUUUGUCUUUAUUGGCCAUUAGUAUAAUCGUAAUAUGUAUGUAUGCGUUUCAAAAUUGAUGUUCUUAUUUUUUUGUAGUUAUAAUAUAUCACGCUGCUAACAUGUAAUACAUAUAUUUGUGCGAGUGUCAACGGACGUAGCCUUAAACUAGUUCAAAACUAUAUUACAGAUUAAAAAUAAUAAAAAAAAAUGUGUAAAUAAAUUGUGUAGUAUUAAUUAGUUUGGUAUGGGAUGUAAACCGAUAUAGAAAUCCAAUAGGUUGGCGGAAUUUCUGUACUAAUACGCAACAGAUUUCGAAUAGACGUCUGUUUCAAUGUGUUUUUUGCGUGUUGGUACAGAUAAACGCCUAGAUGGUACAAAAUAGAGUCUGCCCAAAAUACUAUUAGCACACGUGUUGACAGUUACUUGUAAAGAGGAAAGAAAGUUCUAGAAUGUUUCCCGGUAAAUUGAAGUAAAAAAACGAGGAUUUUGUUUUUGCUGGUACGCCAAAAUGCGUGCACGUGCGUAAUAAUAGUGUAUUGGACAACGGACCCCACCUUGCCUUAUACAGAUAACUGUUACUGUGAUCAAAAAUACAGCCUCCAUGCUGCCGCGUAUGACCUGUAUAUAGAUUGUACGUAGUCGCUUCCAAAUAGUAUACAACAAGAAGCGCUCGAAGCUUCGAGAAAUAACAUCUGGAAUCUUCGAUCGCUCUCCCUGUCGAGGACUAUUACCUGAAAUAGUUUUAGAUAAUCGAUUAUUAUUGUACAUGUACAUAUAAGUAAAUUCGAUUCGUAUUUCAACACGCUUUUAAUUCUACAUAUUAUAUUACUAAUGUGUAAUUGUAAAUAAUUCGUUUCCAGACUGUUAGAGAUCUCGUUUGUUGUUUUAAGUACACGUUUCUUUCCAUUUAGCACACAAGUGAUCUUUAGUUUAGUUAGGGGCUGGUUUUCGGUGUAAUUGUUUCUGGGGGUGAGUACACGCGUAACUAGUGGCUCCACCUAGCGGCGAUUACAUUGCAACUCGCCACGAAUUGACGUAUUAGUUUGUAUUUUGGUCAGUCAUUUAUUAUUUUCUUGUAGUCGUAAGAUUAACAUUUGAAUGCUUUCAGAGGCAAGCGAGGCAAGAUUCAUGUAAAUAUUAGACGGUAAAAUUAUAAGACUUUAGUUUUUAUGUUAAUAACAAACUGCCUCUGCUGUUAGUCGCAUAUUUUUUACUUUAAUUUCUAUUACAUAAGAUUCUUCUUACAAUUAUAUAAAAUGAUAAAAAAAAAAUAAUGAUAUCACCGUGCGGCCGAACGUUUGAGACGUGGAAAUUAAACUUAACGAAACAGUAUAAAAGCAGUUUAAAUUACUCGUCUCAAAAUCCAGUAGUGCGGAAGUUAGUAAGAUUUUUUCGUAUUUUAAGACGUUUUAUUUUCACUUACCAGUCGUGUUGUAAAUAUAUUUGUGCACUGAUAGACGUUGUUUAAGUUGAUCUAAUUUUAGAAUUAUUCAAAAUGGCUGUAUAUUAAUUGUACGUAAUGCCCUUAAGCAUAAGGGCCGUUCCACACAGUGGCAUCAGUAGCGCCACCUGGCGUUGAUUUUGAUUCUGUUAAUGCUAUCUGUGUGUCGGUCUUUACCACAAGAGACACUUAUUGGUUCUGUGAUAAAGCUAUUCUAACGAGGAAUACUUAAUUUUUUUUUUAAACUUGAAAUAUACUCGAAUUUUGAGGAGCUUACUAAUCUAUCGCGUAACAACCGAAACAGUAGAAGAUUAUAAAGCGUUUCAAAUUUGAGUGUAUUCUGAGAAUUUUUAUAAGGAACCAUUGAAUGUCGCUUUGCGGAUGUUAGACAAAUAGUCGGAGUUGCUUUUAUUUGCGAUAGGGAACUAUCGAUUUCCUAUAUACGAUUAGUUACGUCACACUUCUAGGAUUGUGAUUUAGUUCGAAAGUGACAGGACGAUUGUAAAUAUAUUUGUAUUACUGUCGAGUUAGUUGCAUUUUACCAUUGUUGCGAACUGCCAAAACUAUUGUAAUAAUUUUUUAGCGUCUUGUACCGGACACACGGAUAAUAGCAAUGUCUCACUUGAACUCAGUCGUCUAUUUCGUGUACUAGGCAAUAUGUGUCGCUCAGUACAAACCUAGUUAGAAAAUAUCAUUUAUAUUUCGUCGCUCAAUGUGAAUACAGCUUAAGUUGGACCGUUCAACAAUUAUAGACCGUAUCACAGUAACGAUAAGGUACAUUUUUCUAACUAGAUUUGUAAUGCAGAGUAUAAAUGUAUUAGAUUGUGAAGCUACUUAGGUACCGGAAGUAAGAGCAUUGUAAAACGUGAUGUGCUUAUAUACUACUCUAAUUAAUGUAACUGUAGUGUAAUUUUGGUGUAAAUGAUGUGUAAAUGUGACCUUCCGGUAAGUGGUAAGUGGUGAGAAGUGAGAGUUUGUAGUUAUCUGUGUAGGCGGUAGCGUAGCGGGCGUAGCUCCACCAUUGGACCCGUUCUAACAAUAAAACUAUUGCAUAAUUA